CCUUACAUGUGGAAUCUGAACAAAGGACAGACUGAACUUCUUUGCAGAACAGUUGGAGGAGGUCAUCAAGAAGACAUGACCUCCUGCUACCCAGGCAAUUAAUCAGAGGCUCCUCACCCACUCCGUUGUUUUUGAAAUGUACAUUCUCGCCCACUGUUCCCGCUGUGGGAGCCAUUUUUGAGGAUGCAGCCUGGAGAGAGCAUGUAUUGUUGAGACCGUCUGGAUGGAAAACGGGAUGAACUCUAUUAAGGCCUCUAUACAAACCUUAAGAUGCUGGCAGCAGGUGCUGAGAGCAACUCAUUUUGUGACUGACGCUCAAGACAAGCCACGCCAGAGGCAGAAUAUGAGACACAGAUUCAAGAACAAGUGAUGUAUUUAGGAGGGAACCUCAGGAAGCACCAGGGCAGCAAGGAAGGUGAUUCAAGAAAUCAUGAUGAGCAGUCAGUUGUCCAAAGCUUGAUGUACUAGGUCUACAGAAGAUCAACUGUGCCCCUGUGAACAAUCUGUAUGGACCGAUGGUUUCUCAGCCAGGUGUUUUUCAGGUAUUCCAGCUCCUUUGCCCUUGAAUAUAACUGCACCAUAUUGAGUUUUCCGAUUCAUGAACAUGGUAAGUCUCUCCAUCUAUUUCAAUCAUAUUUGAUUUCUUUUGCCAGUAUUUUGCAGUUUCCAAUGUGCACAUCCUUUAUAUGGUUUUUUUUUUCAAUUUCUACCUAAGCAUUUCAAUUUUUAUAACUGUGUAAAUGGUAUUGCUUUUAAAAAUUUUGUUUGGCAAAUGUUCAUGAUAUUAUGUGAAAUAAUAUUGAUUUGUGGGUAUUGGUUUUGUAUCUUUUGACCUUUCGAAACUCAUGUUAGUUCUGUGUGUUGUUUUUGUUGUUUUCUAUGAUCUUGGGGCUUUUUACAUAGACAGUUGUGUCUUCUGUAAAUAACGACAAUUUUAUUUCUUUCAUCCAGUCUGUAUGUCUUUUAUGUCUUUUUCUCACUUUAUUGCACUGGCUAGAACUUUCAGUAUAACAUAGAAUAGAAGUGGUGAGAAUGGAUAUCCUUGUUUUUUUCCUGAUCUUAAGGUAGAAAGAUGUCAUCUUUUACCACUGAAUAUAAUGUUUUCUGUGAGUUUUUUCUUAAGACUCCAUCAUUUUGAGGAAAUUGCCUUCUAUUCCUAGUAUGCCAAAUAUUUUUAUUAUGAAUAGGUGCUGAAAUUUGUCAAACACAUUUUAUAUUUUGAUUAACAUGGUCAUGUGGUUUUUAUUCUUUAUUAAUAUUAUGGAUUAUAUUGUUUAAUUGUUUGGAAACAUAUUGAACCAGACUUGCUUUUUUCGAUUGGGUUUCCCAUAAACCCUAAUUGGUCAUAUGUGUUAUUCUUUUAUACAUUAUUAGAAUUGAUUUGAUAAUGACUUGAGGAAUUUUGUGUUUAUAUCUUUGAGGGAUAUUCAUCUGUAUUUGUUUUCUUGUACUAUUUUCAUCAUUUUGGAAUUAAGGUAAUGCUGGCCUCAUAAAUUUAGUUGGAAAUUGUUCCCUCUUCUUCUCUUUACAAAAGAUAUUAUGUGAUUUGUGUUCAUUUCUUUUUUAAAUAUUAGAAUGUACUUAUAAAAUCUGAGGAGUUCUUUCUUCAGAUGGUUUUAAUUACAGGACUAUUCCAGUGAUCUGUUUCAUCAUGAGUGAAUAUUGUUGGAUUGUUUUUGAGGAACUUGUCAAUUUUAUCUAAGUUGCUUAAUUUAUGUGUGCAAAGAUGUUUUUCAUAUUCCUACCUUUUACAACCUUUAAGGUUUUAGUGUAAAAAAUUUAAGUUGAUCAGGCCUAUAGCUCUUUUAUUUUAGAGGAAAUUCAGGAAACAUAUGAAUAUAUUAAUAGACACAACAGUGAGGUAUUCAGAAAGAUUUGGAUAUAAGGAAAUCCUAAGAUACAAAUUCCUGGUUUCUUUAAUUUAAAAAAAUACAAAGAGAAAAAUGAAAAGGGAAAAGAAACCUACUGAUUAAAAAAAAAGAAAAAUCUCGAAAUAAAUAAUAUAUGAACAAUAUUUCAUUUCAGAUUUAAAUAAACACACUGCGAAAAAAGUAAAGAUUUAUGAGAUAGUCAGAACCUUUGAAAAUGACUAGAUAUUUUGCAAUAUUAAGGAAAUAUUUUUAAAUUCUUUAAGUGAUAAUGCUAACAUUAAAUUACUUUAAAGAUUGAAAGAUGCACCUUGUUAUAAAUUGGAAGAAUUACUAUAAUUAAGAUUUUAAUUACAGAUAGUUUAAUCCAUAAAAUCAAUACAAUGUUAAUAUAAAUUACAUUAUCUUUUCCCCAUGGCAUCUUACAAAACUUUUUAGGGAGAUAUGCUUAAAGAGUUGCAAAUGCAAUAUUUUAGUGGGUCACAUAUAUUACAAAAUAAUUCAGUGGGUAAGAGUGGAAAGGAAGUAAAGACACAGUUGAAACAAGAAUAGCCAUGACUUCAUAAUUUUUGACACUGAGUGUUGGUCAUCUUCUCUACAUUUUCCAUAAUAAAUUUUCAUUAUAAAAUAUUUUCAUCAUAAAUAUAGUCUGUAAUAAAAAACUUUUAAAGAGCCUUUCAAUAAUGUACAAAACAACUAGUUAGUUAAGAAACCUAAUUGUAAUACAAAUACUUAUGAAAAAUUGAUAGCAAUUAAGAUAUUCUCCAACACUUAACAGACAUAGAAAGACCACUUAGAGGAAAAUGCAUAUAUAUAUAUAUAUAUAUUUUUUUUUUAAAGAUUAACAAUGAAUGAGCUGGACAUUAUUUUCAGUAAAUUAGUCAAAGAUUACCAAAAUUGAUCAUCACCUCCAGCAACAAAACAAACGUUUGGAAGUAAAUAAUGAAAAAGUUUAGAAACUGAUAAAUAAAAAACAAAUCUACAAAACCAAAAGCUGAUUAUUUAAAAAUACUAUGAAAAGCUCUGGCAAGAUCUAGGAAUAAAAAAAGAUGCAAAAGAUACAAAUAAAUAAUAUUCAGAAUAAAUAAGCUUCAAAAAUAUUUCAAAUGAAGAUAUUAUUAUAAGACAUUUCAUGCAAAAACAUUUAAAAGCAUCCUAGAAAGAUAUAUUAAUACAAUUACCUCAUUAGUAAAUAGAAAAUCUAGGUAGACCUAAACUCUUUAUUCAGGGCCAGAUUUUAUUAUAUUUGAACUUUAUUGAACCUUCAGGAAGUAAUCAAUAGCAUGUAAAAUUUCUAGAAAAUUUCAAAUGCAGAAAUAUUUCCCAUUAUUUAAUGACAAAAAAUAGCAAAUAAUAAUAGGAAUACAAAUUAUAGUCCAGUCUUAUUUAUGAAAAAGAACACAAAAAUGCUAAAUCGAAUACUAACAAAAUGAAUCUAACAAUAAAUAUUUAAAAAUCAUUAUAAAUAAAUUGAGUUUACCCCAGGAAUGCAAUAAUUGUAUAACAUUAGAAAAGCUAUGUAAUAAGGUAACACCCAUUCAUUAUAGAAAUAGUUAUAAGAAGCCUAAAACAGAUAUAACAGAAAGGAUAUAAGACUUUUAUGAGAAAAACAAAGAAUUUAAAUAAAUUAACAGAUGUUUCAGUUAUCAAUUAAAAAUGCAAUAUAAUAAAAAUGUUUAUCUUAUGCCCAUUAAUCAAAAUUAUAAAAUUUAUGGAACUUUAGAAGCAAUUCUAGUAUUAAUAUGGAAAAAUGUAAAGAAUAGCCAAGAUAAUUUUCAAGAGAAGCAAGUUAUUGGAACUUUACUUGAUAUAAAAUAAGAGUAAUUAGGAAUUCCCAUUGUGGUUCUGUGGGUUAAGAACCCAAUGCUGUCUCUCUGAGAAUCUGGGUUCAAUCCCUGGCCUCACUCAGUGGGUUAAGGAUCUGGCACUGCUUAAGCUGCAGGGUAC
Sus scrofa (pig) is the source of this 3815-nucleotide long non-coding RNA. RefSeq lists it as uncharacterized. The record is from RefSeq and is a predicted model, not a curated record. NCBI's taxonomy places the organism in Eukaryota, Metazoa, Chordata, Mammalia, Artiodactyla, Suidae.